UAAAAUGUAUUGUUUAAAGAAGCUCAGACAUUUCUAUCUGAUAUCAUCUUCCUGCCAGCUGCAGAAUAGGAUUUACAGCAGAUUAACCUUUUUUGUAGGCCAUUCACACAUUGAAUUUGACAUGGAUUUUGAAUAGGAUCCUGUUCUGAAAUCUGUGUCAAAUCUGAUGACAAUCUACGUCUAAUGCAUGUGAAAGAGUUUUUCCAGAAACCCCAUUACAUGCAACAGAAAAUAUCCACAUAGAUUUUUGGCGCCACUGUGGAAAAAAAAUCGUCUUAGCAGAUAAGAAGCAUGCUACCUAUUUCCACAGAUUUUGCGCAGCAAUUCCAAGGAAUGGCUGCAAUCAAUAACAUCUACAACAAACUAAUGGUACAUCCACAGCAGAAAUUGGAGGAACAACCUCAGAUUUCAGAUACAAAAAUACACAUCACUGCUUUAACACCCCUUAGUUCCUCCGGGAUGACCAAUUUUGUUCAUAUCCAUUUAGUAAACCCUUUCACAAACCCCCUGAAUUAUAUUUGUGGGUUACAUUUUCUUCCUCCUCACCUUCUAAGACCCAUAACUUUUUUGGUGGGGCAAUAAUGGGGUAAAACUGAAAGGCUAACUUUAUUCUCGGGGCCAAUAAGAUUCCAGUGAUACCAAACUUGGAUAAUUUAUUAUCUGAUUUAUGAGAAAAAAAAAUAGGAAACUUGAAAAAAAAUUGUUUAUUGCCAUGUCCUGACCCCUAUAACUUUUUUGAUUCACCUACAGAGCGGUUCAAGGAUCCAUUUUUGGUCCCCCUUGGGAUCUUUUAUAAGCAAUGAGCCGAUUGCCUGCAUAGAUCAUAGUAAUGCUAUUUCAUAAUACUGAUUGUUCAUUUGGUGAAUGUUAACAUCUGCACUACUUGAUGACAGAGCAAAAUAAAUUAGACCCAUGCAAUGUGGCUCAAGUCCUUCUUUAUCCUGGAACACAAAGCCCUAACAGUGUGAGUAUGAACACGAGGAACAAGUAUUCAGCAGCACAUGGCAUCCAGUAUGACCAGCUGAACAGGCUGAACAUUAUAUUCUGCUGAAAGGGAAAUGAAACACAUGGAAGCAACUUAGUCAGAAUGUUGUUAUUGUUUUUUUUUCUACACAUGACUAUGUCCACCUGAUUAUUCUUAUUUUUGUAAAUACUUUAUUAUAUAACAAAUCUAUCUAUCUA
Molecule: long non-coding RNA, 1182 nt
Organism: Hyla sarda
Lineage: Eukaryota; Metazoa; Chordata; Amphibia; Anura; Hylidae
Exons: 3
Source: RefSeq, a predicted model, not a curated record